Molecule: ribosomal RNA, 468 nt
Filed under: uncultured bacterium
Lineage: Bacteria
Description: partial 16S ribosomal RNA
Rfam family: Bacterial small subunit ribosomal RNA
Source: RNAcentral
GACGAACGCUGGCGGCGUGCUUAACACAUGCAAGUCGAACGGAAAGGCCCUGCUUUUGUGGGGUUCUCGAGUGGCGAACGGGUGAGUAACACGUGAGUAACCUGCCCUUGACUUUGGGAUAACUUCAGGAAACUGGGGCUAAUACCGGAUAGGAGCUCCUGCUGCAUGGUGGGGGUUGGAAAGUUUCGGCGGUUGGGGAUGGACUCGCGGCUUAUCAGCUUGUUGGUGGGGUAGUGGCUUACCAAGGCUUUGACGGGUAGCCGGCCUGAGAGGGUGACCGGCCACAUUGGGACUGAGAUACGGACCAGAAUCCUACGGGAGGCAGCAGUGGGGAAUAUUACACAAUGGGCGGAAGCCUGAGGCAGAGGCGCCGCGUGCGGGAUGACGGGCUUCGGGUUGUAAACCGCUUUCGCCUGUGACGAAGCGUGAGUGACGGUAAUGGGUAAAGAAGCAACGGCUAACUACGUG